CCGUAGUGCAGGUUACCUUGGAAACCAGCCGACAACUUCCUGUUUUCAUCCCCUGGAAAAUGGCGGAGGAGAAGCCUCGAACGGAUACUGUAUCCUCUCUGGCUAUGGACAGCAAGAAGAGCCACCCAAAGAAAGCUCCAGAGCUGCCCAUCCUGGAACGCAGGAACUGGCUCAUCCACCUGCAUUACAUCCGCAAAGACUACGAGAGGUGACAGG
Molecule: non-coding RNA, 216 nt
Organism: Paramormyrops kingsleyae
Lineage: Eukaryota; Metazoa; Chordata; Actinopteri; Osteoglossiformes; Mormyridae
Source: RefSeq, a predicted model, not a curated record